GAUGAACGCUGGCGGCGUGCCUAAUACAUGCAAGUCGAGCGAACAGACGAGGAGCUUGCUCCUCUGACGUUAGCGGCGGACGGGUGAGUAAAACGUGGAUAACCUACCUAUAAGACUGGGAUAACUUCGGGAAACCGGAGCUAAUACCGGAUAAUAUAUUGAACCGCAUGGUUCAAUAGUGAAAGACGGUUUUGCUGUCACUUAUAGAUGGAUCCGCGCCGCAUUAGCUAGUUGGUAAGGUAACGGCUUACCAAGGCAACGAUGCGUAGCCGACCUGAGAGGGUGAUCGGCCACACUGGAACUGAGACACGGUCCAGACUCCUACGGGAGGCAGCAGUAGGGAAUCUUCCGCAAUGGGCGAAAGCUUGACGGAGCAACGCCGCGUGAGUGAUGAAGGUAUUCGGAUCGUAAAACUCUGUUAUUAGGGAAGAACAAAUGUGUAAGUAACUAUGCACGUCUUGACGGUACCUAAUCAGAAAGCCACGGCUAACUACGUG
This 497-nucleotide ribosomal RNA is filed under the name uncultured bacterium. RNAcentral describes it as "partial 16S ribosomal RNA". It matches the Rfam family "Bacterial small subunit ribosomal RNA", at positions 28 to 507 of the family's 1533-position model. The record is from RNAcentral.